This 497-nucleotide ribosomal RNA is filed under the name uncultured bacterium. Its description in RNAcentral is "partial 16S ribosomal RNA". It matches the Rfam family "Bacterial small subunit ribosomal RNA", at positions 28 to 507 of the family's 1533-position model. The record is from RNAcentral.
GAUGAACGCUGGCGGCGUGCCUAAUACAUGCGAGUCGAGCGAACGGACGAGAAGCUUGCUUUUCUGAUGUUAGCGGCGGACGGGUGAGUAACACGUGGAUAACCUACCUAUAAGACUGGGAUAACUUCGGGAAACCGGAGCUAAUACCGGAUAAUAUAUUGAACCGCAUGGUUCAAAAGUGAAAGACGGUCUUGCUGUCACUUAUAGAUGGAUCCGCGCUGCAUUAGCUAGUUGGUAAGGUAACGGCUUACCAAGGCAACGAUGCAUAGCCGACCUGAGAGGGUGAUCGGCCACACUGGAACUGAGACACGGUCCAGACUCCUACGGGAGGCAGCAGUAGGGAAUCUUCCGCAAUGGGCGAAAGCCUGACGGAGCAACGCCGCGUGAGUGAUGAAGGUCUUCGGAUCGUAAAACUCUGUUAUUAGGGAAGAACAUAUGUGUAAGUAACUGUGCACAUCUUGACGGUACCUAAUCAGAAAGCCACGGCUAACUACGUG